Molecule: long non-coding RNA, 505 nt
Filed under: Capsicum annuum
Lineage: Eukaryota; Viridiplantae; Streptophyta; Magnoliopsida; Solanales; Solanaceae
Description: long non-coding RNA (CANN_LNC009773)
Source: RNAcentral
UGGUGAAUUACGGCACAUCCACAAUGCACCCCCACGGCUGGAGAGUGUCACUUGGCCUUGCUGCUGUCCCUGCAGUUCUUCUGCUCAUCGGUUGCUUUGUUAUCACUGACACUCCUGCCAGUCUGAUUGAACGUGGCAAGGACGAACAAGGCAAAGCUGCACUAAAGAAAGUUAGGGGAGUUGAUGAUGUUGAAGCUGAAUACAAGGAAUUAGUUGCUGCUUGUGAACAAGCCAAGGAGAUUAAACAUUCGUUCAGGAACCUCAUGAAGGGUGCCAGUAUCCCACCACUUGUUAUUGCUAUACUAAUUCAGAUCUUCCAGCAAUUCACUGGAAUUAACGCCAUUAUGUUCUACGCACCUGUGCUAUUCCAGACCAUGGGAUUCAAGUCCGAUGGUGCUCUUCUGUCCUCCGUCAUAACUGGACUUGUUAAUGUUGGCUCCACCUUUGUUUCCAUCUUUGCUGUUGACAAGGUUGGAAGGAAAAAAUUGCUCCUCCAAGCUUGUUG